CACCCAUCUCUCUCCACUCUCCUGUCUCCUCCCAUCCAUGCCCGUGACUCCUCUCCUACCUCUACAUCUCCUCUCAAGUCUCAACCGACGCACACUCCUCUCCUCCCUCUCAAUCUCCCCUCCCCUUCUUUUCCCCGUGCAGGCACGGAGGCACCUUCUCCCUUUCAAUCUCGUCUCCUCGCUGACUUCGGGCGAGCCCACCGCGUUGCCUCUG
This 214-nucleotide long non-coding RNA is filed under the name Brachypodium distachyon (stiff brome). RNAcentral's name for it is "long non-coding RNA (BDIS_LNC004883)". Lineage: Eukaryota; Viridiplantae; Streptophyta; Magnoliopsida; Poales; Poaceae. The record is from RNAcentral.